Passer domesticus (house sparrow) is the source of this 1051-nucleotide long non-coding RNA. RefSeq lists it as uncharacterized. NCBI's taxonomy places the organism in Eukaryota, Metazoa, Chordata, Aves, Passeriformes, Passeridae. The record is from RefSeq and is a predicted model, not a curated record. The transcript has 3 exons.
GGAGCACGGUGUCAGUGUGAGACCCACGGGGCUGGAAGCUGUGACCCUGGAAGGAAUGCUUGGCCCAGGGGCAGCUCACCUGGAGCCAGCUGGAAGCACAAGCUGGAAGAUCCCUGAGGAAUCCCCACAGAAUUGGGUCUGUGCUGAAAAGAGAGAGAAUUCCAGCAAUCCCUCAACUUUGCUUGGCUUUCUCACCAGCCUCCUUCACUCAUCAAUUCCUAAACAAACAGCGUGAUCCUAAUAUUGGCCCUAAAAUUCUGUGUGAAAUGGACCUGGAAAUUAAUUUCACACCGGAAAAGCCAGCUCACUGUCAGCCACAGCACAGGUGGUUGAAAAGAAAACUCCAAGAUGGCUCUACAAAUUAAUUGUGUGGCUUGGAUGAGAGGCUAGCAGGUGGGGAGCUGCCACCAUCCCAACCCACACUGCACCACGGGCUGCUGGAAAGCUGUGGGAGAGGGAGGAUGCCACCAUUCCCCUGGGGCUUGUGGUCAUGGGGGACAAAAUCGCCCAAAAAAGUGGGAGCAGGGGGCAUGGGGAUGCUUUUUUCCUGAGCACAAAAGCGGCCCUGCACUUUUACACAGGUCUAAUUUAAAAAUAAUAAUAAUAAAAAAAGGAUGGUAGUUUGGGAAAGCACUUGCAGGGACCCUUGUGGGAGACUCCUGUGUGAAGAAAUGACUGAUGGCACAAUACUGCAUGGGCUGGUUGUCCAUGCAGACCCCUGAGGCUGUGGCAGAACAUGGUUCCAUGGCAAGCAGAGUUAAUUCAGUGCCUUAGCAGGGCAGGAUUUUGCACAUAUCCAUGUUUCACCUGCUUUCCGUGUGAUGUUUCAUCUGUUCAGAGCCAAAUGGUGAUCCCAGCUCUCACAGGCAGAGGAGGGAGGCACCGUGGGGAGAGCUGGAUGUGGGAAUGUUCUGUGGCUGGGUGGAAAAUGAGAGGGGGAGAAGCCCUGCAGUACAAUUUCAAGGUUGAGUGAGUGGUGCCAGGAGGCUGUGAAAGGCUCUGCUGAGCUGCUCUGUGCUCACAGGCAGGAUGGAGAAGGGAGGUCACGGGA